RNAcentral lists this ribosomal RNA (420 nucleotides) under uncultured bacterium. RNAcentral describes it as "bacterial SSU rRNA". It matches the Rfam family "Bacterial small subunit ribosomal RNA", at positions 358 to 770 of the family's 1533-position model. The record is from RNAcentral.
GGAAUAUUGGACAAUGGGGGCAACCCUGAUCCAGCCAUGCCGCGUGUGUGAAGAAGGCCUUCGGGUUGUAAAGCACUUUAAGUUGUGAGAAAGAGGUAAACGUUAAUAGCGUUUAUCAUUGAUGUUAGCAACAGAAUAAGCACCGGCUAACUCCGUGCCAGCAGCCGCGGUAAGACGGAGGGUGCAAGCGUUAAUCGGAAUUACUGGGCGUAAAGCGCGCGUAGGCGGUUUGGUCAGUUGGAUGUGAAAGCCCCGGGCUUAACCUGGGAACUGCAUUCAAUACUGCCAGGCUAGAGUACGGGAGAGGGGGGUAGAAUUUCUAGUGUAGCGGUGAAAUGCGUAGAUAUUAGAAGGAAUACCGGUGGCGAAGGCGGCCCCCUGGAUCGAUACUGACGCUGAGGUGCGAAAGCGUGGGGAGCA